Molecule: RNA transcript, 2069 nt
Organism: Syzygium oleosum
Lineage: Eukaryota; Viridiplantae; Streptophyta; Magnoliopsida; Myrtales; Myrtaceae
Gene name: RHOMBOID-like protein 5
Exons: 6
Source: RefSeq, a predicted model, not a curated record
CUAAUAUUUAUCUCUGUGUAGGCAAUUCAUCCUAGAGUUAUUUACCAUCAAAAAGGAUACUUUUGACGGAUCAAAAAAGUCGCAAUGACUACCAGGGAAGGUGGGCAAUACCAUAAAGUUUGAAACGUUGAUUGUAUAUGAGAUGAUCACGAAUUAUUUUAGCUUAAGUCGUAUAAAAUUAAAACCAUCAGUUACAAUAUGUAAUAGUUUCACCAAAACAACCCUUUUUAUUAGCGGGAAAAGUACCGAACUUAACUCCCAUCCCACCUAAGAUUCAUUCUUCACCAUCCAACCCUUCUCUCUCUCUCUCUCUCUCUCUCUCUCUCUCCCUCCUUCGUCGCUUCCUCCUCUGCAUCAGAACUUAUCAAUACAGCCCCGUCAACCACCGUCAAAAGGGUUGGUGCCUCGUGCACUCCUCGCCUCCUUCUCCUUGAUGGGGAAGAGCUCGUCGUCCCCCUCGCCGUCCUCGUCGCCAUUGCCAGCAUCGGACAUAGAGAAGGGCACCAAAAUGCCCCGUCCCGCCCAUCACCAUUUUCCUCCGCCGCCGCCUCCGAAGCAGUGGUUCUCGUGGGUCAUCCCGCUCAUCUUCUUGGCCAACAUCGGGCUCUUCGUGUACACGAUGUACGUCAAUGACUGCCCCAGAAAAAAGCCCAAGGGUUGCACCCUGUAUCCUCUGCUAGGGAGGUUCUCUUUUCAGCCAUUGAAGGAGAACCCUCUCUUAGGCCCCUCCGUCCUCACGCUGGAAAAACUUGGAGGCCUCGAGCGAAAACUUGUGGUAGAUGAUGCUCAAGGAUGGCGAAUGAUAUCCUGCAUAUGGCUUCAUGCGGGAGUCUUACAUUUGGCUACUAACAUGUUGAGCCUCAUGGUUGUUGGCAUAGGACUCGAGCAAGAGUUUGGAUUUCUGAAAAUUGCAGCUUUAUAUGUGCUCUCUGGCUUUGGGGGAAGCUUGUUAUCUACACUAACCAUCGAUGAAGACUCGAAAAUAUCAGUCGGGGCAUCCGGUGCUCUUUUUGGACUGUUGGGAGCUAUGCUUUCUGAGCUGAUCACAAACUGGACCAUUUAUGCGAAUAAGUGCACAGCUCUUUUCACUCUAGUGAUCGUGGUUGCCAUAAAUCUGGCCGUCGGGCUUCUCAUACCUCACGUGGAUAACUCAGCCCAUAUAGGAGGGUUCAUCUCCGGGUUCCUUCUAGGGUUUGUUCUCCUAAUUCGUCCCCAAUUUGGGUACGUAAGCAGGAGGUACAUCCCCGAUGGAUACGAUGUGAAGCACAAAAAGUCCAAGCAUAAGAGCUACCAAUAUUGUUUAUGGGUGACGGCUCUAAUCCUCUUAGUUGCAGGAUAUGCUUCAGGAUUGGCUAAGCUGUUCAACGGCCAGGUUCUGAAGAAUGUGCCGUUUUAGAGAAUGGAUGAUGCCAUUGUUUCGAUCCCACCGCCUCUUGUUUGAGCAAUAGCAGAACAUGUCACUGUAUCUCAUCCGAUUUUUAUGUCAAAACUGUGAUUCUUUUCAAGGUUACAUACUUUCCUGAGCAUAUCAACAGAAAGCAGCAAAAUCAGAAGACUGGCGAAAGCGGCUAUCGGAAGACAUUUUGGAAGACCGAAAGUUUGUGUACACAAUAAUGCAAAACAUAUGCCUACUUGAUCAUGUUAAGCAUAAUAACUUGCUCGAAUUUGGCUUUUUUCUCGAGGAGCAGAACUUCAACGGCGGUUCGGUCUCGAGUUUUAGAUAAAAAUUUACCCUCCCUCUCUAAUCAUUUCGAGUUCGUUCCGAGUAGCCGUUCUCACAACAUACUUCCCUUUUGUGAGAUGACGGCAUACCCUUUCAGGGACAUUCCGUAACAAGCAUUGCGGUAGGAGCGCGUAAGCAGGAAAUAUUUGGGAGAUGAAGUGCUCAUUAGUAGUCAAAAUGAUGCGAGGAACACAAAACCGCGAUUCACGACAAAGUUUGGGAUUUGGAACAUCGAUUGUGUUAGAAAGGCUCAUUACCGUUUGAUCCCGCAAAACGCAAUCUCAGAAUUCGAUUGUUUCCUUUGCAGAUCUAAAUGAACUGUCAUUUAGCAGGACUUUUAAGACAA